RNAcentral lists this ribosomal RNA (241 nucleotides) under uncultured Staphylococcus sp. RNAcentral describes it as "partial 16S ribosomal RNA". It matches the Rfam family "Bacterial small subunit ribosomal RNA", at positions 99 to 334 of the family's 1533-position model. The record is from RNAcentral. Lineage: Bacteria; Bacillati; Bacillota; Bacilli; Caryophanales; Staphylococcaceae.
CGGACGGGUGAGUAACACGUGGAUAACCUACCUAUAAGACUGGGAUAACUUCGGGAAACCGUAGCUAAUACCGGAUAAUAUUUUGAACCGCAUGGUUCAAAAGUGAAAGACGGUCUUGCUGUCACUUAUAGAUGGAUCCGCGCUGCAUUAGCUAGUUGGUAAGGUAACGGCUUACCAAGGCAACGAUGCAUAGCCGACCUGAGAGGGUGAUCGGCCACACUGGAACCGAGACACGGUCCAG